Molecule: ribosomal RNA, 433 nt
Filed under: uncultured bacterium
Lineage: Bacteria
Description: partial 16S ribosomal RNA
Rfam family: Bacterial small subunit ribosomal RNA
Source: RNAcentral
AACGAACGCUUGCGGCAGGCCUAACACAUACAAGUCGAGCGCGCCCUUCGGGGUGAGCGGCGGACGGGGGGGUAACGCGUGGGAACGUGCCCUUUUCUACGGAAUAGCCUCGGGAAAAAGAGAGUAAUACCGAAUACGCCACUGGGGGGAAAGAUUUAUCGGAAAAGGGUCGGCCCGCGUUGGAUUGGGUAGUUGGGGGGGGAAUGGCCUAUCAAGCCGACGAUCCAUAGCUGGUUUGAGAGGAUGAUCAGCCACACUGGGACUGAGACACGGCCCAGACUCCUACGGGAGGCAGCAGUGGGGAAUCUUAGACAAUGGGGGCAACCCUGAUCUAGCCAUGCCGCGUGAGUGAUGAAGGCCUUAGGGUUGUAAAGCUCUUUCAGCUGGGAAGAUAAUGACGGUACCAGCAGAAGAAGCCCCGGCUAACUCCGUG